This is a long non-coding RNA of Mya arenaria, 2115 nucleotides long. RefSeq lists it as uncharacterized. The transcript is spliced from 3 exons. NCBI's taxonomy places the organism in Eukaryota, Metazoa, Mollusca, Bivalvia, Myida, Myidae. The record is from RefSeq and is a predicted model, not a curated record.
ACAUUUUCGUCGGGGCAGAUUGAAGUUUGUCAUUUUGCUUCAGACAAAACGAGAUUGAAAGCUAAAGCGAUAAUCAAAAACAAAGUAAUGGGUCCUCUAGAGGAAAAUGGUGACCUCUACCGAAUCAAUUACAGCAACAUUCCAGAUGAAAAUUCUGCUGAUUUGGUGGUCGCGAGAACAAAAGUUUUUCGAUUUCUGUCUACAAUCGGCGAAUACUGCUUUUUCAUGAAAAACUGUGAAAAUUUUGCGACAUUUUGUAAAACCGGCUUUAUCAUCAGAGACCAGCUUGAGUGGUUGAUAUCACAGGUGAAACAAUCAAUGCACCUUGGGAUUGGGCUUCAAUAUGCACACUGCUUCCCGUAUGAAGGUAUAGCAGCAUUGACCGGCGGUGAAAAUAGCGUAGGUGCUUUUUUGCUGGUCCUAGGUGAAAUUCAAAUGUAUUCCGUAGACAUUGAUGAGAUAAACUCCAAUGAAGGGAUCUCUAAAAAAGAUUAAAUUCUUGAACAAAUCCAGCGGUUAUCUGCAUGUGUAGGAGGAGCGGCUCUGGGCGCUACUGGAAGCUAUGCUUUAGGGCAGCUGAUUGGAUCAACAGUGGGUAGCCAGAUCGGUGGGCCUUCCGGAUAUUUUGUGGGUAAAAUGAUUGGCACCUGGCUCGGCGGCAGGAUUGGCAAAUAUAUAGAGAUCUAAGGACUACUUCGAGAAACCGUACAAGUGUGCUUUAAAGUGAGAUACCCUAGAGAGCGGCGGCAACAACACAACGCACAUUGAAACGGAAUCUCACCCUAAUCAUGUUAGGGUCACCGAGCGGGAAGACUUUCAUGUUGUGCAACACGCGCGCGGAAUUAAACAUUUCUGUGUACUUGGACUUAGUAGAGAGGUGAAUACGGAACUGUUAUCUACUGUCAUAUCGACGAAGGGUUCUUUUGUAAAAGGCAUCAGUGUGUUUCCGGUACGGAAAACGCAAGUCGGGGCUGGUAAAACUAACUCUCGCGUCAGAUGAAAACACCCAUUAUGUGCUGGCCGAGCUUCGUAACAUGUGAGCUGUGGUGGUCACAUAGGUCGCACCGGGAAUCUAGGAAUGGGUCGACAACCACAAGACUGGAUAGGAGUGCCGGCGUCCGCCGGAAUUUGGGCAAUCGAAUCGCCUCAUCUAGGGCGAAAGGUGUCGACGGAACCUUCAGGGAACCAAGCGCGCGCCUGGCGAGUCGGCCGUCGGGGCCUCUUCGUGUUAUUCCUCCCAGGUUUAGAGCGACAAUGCGACAAAUGGCGGAUGGACGGCGAGCGAAUGGAGGCACACAGAGAGAGAGCGCGAGUGGAUAAACCCAUUCAGUACAUUGUCUGAGUUAGUGGACUUAUAAACGGACAUUUAUAAGUCAUUAAUAGUUAAACUUGUGAUUGUACUUAUGAUUAUGCGAACCUUGUUAAUAAUUUUUACUAUAUUUAUGAGUAUGUGCCAGUGCAACUUAUCUUUGUGAUGUAUUAGCCCAGGGUUUUUGUGGAAUAUCAGAACAUUGGCUGCUGCCAUCCAACUCGCAUUUCAUAAACCUAAUAUCAAUUGAUUACAAUCACUAUACAUGUUGUAUUAAACUCUGAAGCAAUGUAGGAUAGGAAAGGGCGGUGUCUCUUUACUUUGGCAUAUACGUUUUGACCAUUUUAUUUCACUAUUGGAUAUAAAUGAUGAUCGUAUUGUAGGUAUUUAAUUCCAAGUUGUAACUGGACAAUGCAUGUAUAUUUUUCAAGUAUACCUGCCUUGUGUGAACCACUCUUUUGAGAUAUAUCAUGACUCUAUUUCCAUAUUGUAUGAUAUUGUAUCACACUUACAGCGAAAUUGGCCAAACGAUUUUCAUGGGUGACUUUAACGCCAAGGUGCGCGUGCCAUUGUUUAACAGCCGAAAUACGUUUUUUAAAUGCUUGUUACAUGUGUCCUGUAAAUACAAUGUCAUCUUGUGUACGUUCUGUUAAAACCUACGCAUCAUAUGACGGUUGCUGUACGUCACUUAUAGACUAUAUAUGUAUACCACGGGAGAAUAUAGACUGUGUGACACAUUGAGAAGUUGCGGAUGAGUAUUGUUUAAACGUUUCUCGACAUAUACUAUUAUAAAUUUGUUGCUUGUC